UUAGCAUGGAAAUAAAUCCCAGGUUGUUAAUUUGUGGGUAAAUAACCGGUCAGGAAGACAAUGGACGACUCUUGCAAAAUACAUUAUUCCCCGUGAUUUAACAAUUCCACGAUGUUUUGUUCAACUGUAGUACGACAAAUUCAAAUUUAUUCAUAAACUCAGCACAGACGUCUGUUUAUUGUAAUAUAACCGACGAAAUGUUUUAUCAUAUGGUACAACUGAUAGAAUAGAAGUCAGAAAAGGGUAUCGCCGAAAAACAAAACAACAAAAAAAUAUUUCUUUCGGCUUCUUCUUCAAAUUUAAUUUUCCGAAAAUGACAAAUACCGACGAAAAUCUGUAUGAUGAUUGCCAUGCCACAUCUUCGUAUUACAGAACAUGCGGACUACCUCCAAGAUUUGAAUAUCCGCAUGUCUUUAAGCACUAUGGAUGUCAACUGCCAAAGCGACAUCCGAUGUACAGAACAACAAGUAUGGAUUAUGGGUAUUCACCGCCCACGGUUCACACGGUAUCGCGAAGCUACCAUCCCAAAAUAAAUGAGUUCACCAAAUCGCGCGGAGCGAAUCGAAGGAGAAUUUGUAUCCUGAACAUGUGAGAGGCCAAGCUGCAAUUAUAAAACAAACUUCCUUUUAUGCCGGUCCGUCUCUUACGGCCUCUACUUCCAAAACAUUAUCCAAUUAAUUAAUUGUGCACGACAAGCUAAGCCUUGGAAAAUAAAAUUCUAGUUCAUGAA
Molecule: long non-coding RNA, 730 nt
Organism: Cimex lectularius (bed bug)
Lineage: Eukaryota; Metazoa; Arthropoda; Insecta; Hemiptera; Cimicidae
Exons: 2
Source: RefSeq, a predicted model, not a curated record